This 229-nucleotide long non-coding RNA is filed under the name Gossypium raimondii (Peruvian cotton). Its description in RNAcentral is "long non-coding RNA (GRAI_LNC006879)". The record is from RNAcentral. Lineage: Eukaryota; Viridiplantae; Streptophyta; Magnoliopsida; Malvales; Malvaceae.
GGGUCUGUACGAUUAGACUGGGUAUAGGGUUGUUACACUAACAAUGAUAAUACUAACUAAAAUAAUAAUUAGAGUUUUUAUUAAUCUUAAUAACUAACAAUAAUAACUAAACUAAGAACAAAAAAUAAUAAAAAAUAUACCAAAAAAAAAACAUAAUAACAAGAUAAAAAUACCUUAUUUUUUCUAUUUUUUUCUUCUCUUUCUUUCUCCCUUCCCUAUUCUCUUUCUC